Molecule: ribosomal RNA, 439 nt
Filed under: uncultured marine bacterium
Lineage: Bacteria
Description: bacterial SSU rRNA
Rfam family: Bacterial small subunit ribosomal RNA
Source: RNAcentral
AACGCGAAGAACCUUACCAACACUUGACAUGUUCGUCGCGACUCUAAGAGAUUAGAGUUUUCGGUUCGGCCGGACGAAACACAGGUGCUGCAUGGCUGUCGUCAGCUCGUGUCGUGAGAUGUUGGGUUAAGUCCCGCAACGAGCGCAACCCUCACUUUUAGUUGCCAUCAUUAAGUUGGGCACUCUGAAAGAACUGCCAGUGAUAAGCUGGAGGAAGGUGGGGAUGACGUCAAGUCCUCAUGGCCCUUACGUGUUGGGCUACACACGUGCUACAAUGGCAUCUACAACAGGAAGCAAAACGGCAACGUUAAGCAAAUCCCGAAAAGAUGCCUCAGUUCGGAUUGCACUCUGCAACUCGAGCGCAUGAAGCUGGAAUUACUAGUAAUCGUGGAUCAGCGUGCCACGGUGAAUGCGUUCCCGGGUCUUGUACACACCGAAU